Molecule: small nuclear RNA, 120 nt
Filed under: Microcebus murinus (gray mouse lemur)
Lineage: Eukaryota; Metazoa; Chordata; Mammalia; Primates; Cheirogaleidae
Description: U5 spliceosomal RNA (ENSMICG00000024942.3)
Rfam family: U5 spliceosomal RNA
About the family: U5 RNA is a component of both types of known spliceosome. The precise function of this molecule is unknown, though it is known that the 5' loop is required for splice site selection and p220 binding, and that both the 3' stem-loop and the Sm site are important for Sm protein binding and cap methylation.
Source: Rfam by way of RNAcentral
AGACUCUGGUUUCUCUUCAAAACAAACAAAUCUUUCACCUCUUACUAAAGAUUUCCAUGGAGAACAGUUAUGAGUUGGUGAGCUGGUAACCACAUUUUUGAGGUCUUGCUCAGGCAAGGU